GAGUGUUACAUUUCUUUUAGAAUUUGUCUAGCAGGCUUUCCAGUUUUUGUCGGAAAGUCCCU
This 62-nucleotide small nuclear RNA is filed under the name Aotus nancymaae (Ma's night monkey). RNAcentral's name for it is "U7 small nuclear RNA (ENSANAG00000006929.1)". It matches the Rfam family "U7 small nuclear RNA". Rfam says of the family: Animal histone pre-mRNAs are spliced by a different mechanism than nuclear pre-mRNAs and self-splicing introns. Lineage: Eukaryota; Metazoa; Chordata; Mammalia; Primates; Aotidae. The record is from Rfam by way of RNAcentral.